AACCUCCCCGCCCACUCGAACUCCGAAGUCCGUAUUCGCCGGAUGAAUCCCCUUCCCGGCGACGGCGAGCCCCGCGCGCGUCGUCCCCACCCGGCCACCCGACGCAAGCUCCCAACCGCAUCGCCGUCGCCGGAAAGCAACAUGCCACCCUCCGCGUGUCCUCGUGCUCCUUCACCUCCUCCGCCCCUCCAUUCCACUCCCACUUCGCAUCCUAACUCGCGCCCCGCAACCCGGACUCCAACCGACGAGCCAUGGCCCCCGCCGACGCCGGAGACUUCCUCUUAGAUGAGGACGACGACGAUUUCUUCAGUGAGUACAAUCCUCACCCCUACCUCGGCGGCUACGACCUCGCCGCCACCUUCGGCACCCCUCUUCCGCCUUCCGCCAGCACUUGCUACCCCGUCUCCUCCUCUGCCGCCGCCACCGUACCCAAUGUCCCCUCGCCUCCUUCACCCACACCGGAGCCAGCGGAUCCUCCGCCGGAGGAACCUUAUGGCGACGAGGAAGCUCUGCGGAAGCCGGUGCACGAAUCCCCGGAGGUGUUUCCAAACGGGGCAGCUACGAAAGGUAAGGGGCGGAGGCGCAGGUGGUGCGGACGCGGCUUCUGGAAGAAGUGCGUGCGGGGAUUGGAUUACGUAUUCGGCUACAAGGACCCGUAUGUGGAGCAGCGGAUUGGGUUGGACAGCUACGUCGUUCCGGUUUAUGCGAACAGGAAAGAAAGUGGGGAGGAUGCCUUGGCCGUGGAGGUUGAGAUGCCGCCACCGUCCGUGGGAAGAGUGGAGCCGCAUGAUAGCAACGAGGAGCUUGUUCAGAGCAAUGACUUAUCUUGGCAUAGUAAUUACAAAGAUGAUGCCGAUACCUAUAGCCAAUCCAUGUCUGAUUCGUACUAUACGCCUUCUUUUUCACAAUCUUAUGGCCUUCCUGAAGUUUUUGGCAAGCCAGAUUGGUUUCCAAAUCUUAGCUACUCCGAGUCUCAUCCAGUAGAGGAAUUUCAGCCCGAGGCAUUGUUAUCCUACGAUGUUCAGCACACGAUCUUUGGGCAACCUGUUCAUUGUUAUUACCAUCAUUGCUAUAAACAACCACUAAAUGUGCAGGUUGAAUCCCUGGAACCAGUUUAUUCUCAGAGGCUGGAGUAUUAUGAGGUUUGUUAAAGCAUUUGAUUUCCAGCUUAGUUAUUAGGUAGCAUGGCAGUCUGGGUACAUGUGCAUUAGGAAUUUAGCCCCUUACAGUUUGCUUGUCUGGACAAUGUGGUUCAUUUUACUCUUGUAAAGUUUUCCAGUUGUCCAAGUAACCCUUACAGCAAAGUGAGAAAAAAAAAGAGAAAAGAUUUGGGAGCUAUCUGGACAGCUGAAAAACCUCACGGAAGUAAAAUGUCCUUUUCCUUUAAAGUAUUAUUCAGAAAAUAAUAUACUUAAUAUAUUCCUCUGUAUUGCUUUAAUUAUUUUCUAAGAUAUGUUUGCUUCUGGUGUAGCAUUUUUCAACAUAUUGUGGCCAAAGUGAUGGCCACAUUUUGGAAACUCCAGCAUAUGCAUUCAACAUUCAGUCCUAUUUGCCGAUAUCUGACAUGCCAAUUGAACCUUUUAAGCCAUCAUGGUCUCAGAAUUGGGGCCUUUCUGAUGUCUAUACGCAAGGGGAUGCUCUUGAAAACGAUGCAGUUAGUACAUAAUCUGAAUCUGAUACAUCUCUUUCAUUUGGAUACAACAACAACAACAUUGCCUUUUUUCCCAAGCAAGUUGGGGUAGGCUAGAGAUGAAACCCGAAAGAAAUAAGUUCAAAGUUCAGGCACAUUGAUAGCUAGUCUCCAAGCGCUCCUAUCCAAAACUAUCUCUUUAGAGAUAUUCCAAUCCUUAAGGUCUCUCUUAACCGACUCAUCCCACAUCAGUUUAGGUCUACCUCUACCCCUCUUUACAUUAUCGACCCGCUCAAGAACCCCAUUAUGCACCGGUGCCUCAGGAGGCCUUCGUUGGACAUGUCCAAACCAUCUCAGCCGAUGCUGGAUAAGUUUCUCCUCAAUUUGUGCCACCCCGACCCUAUCCCGAAUAACUUCGUUCCGGACUCUAUCCCUCCUUGUGUGCCCGCAAAACCACCGCAACAUCCGCAUCUCUGUUACACUCAGUUGCUGGAUAUGUCGCCUUUUUGUAGGCCAACAUUCAACACCGUAUAACAUCGCCGGACGAAUUGCUGUCCUAUAGAAUUUGCCUUUUAGCUUUUGUGGCACCCUCUUGUCACAAAUGAUGCCAGAAUCUUGCCGCCAUUUCAACCAGCCAGCUGAAAUUCUAUGCCUAACAUCUUCAUCAAUGUCGCCAUCCUUUUGUAGCACCGAUCCUAAAUACCGAAAAGUAUCCUUCUGGACCACCACUUGCCCAUCUAGACUAACGUCUGCCCCCUCAUGCGGUCAUGCCUAGUCGCGCUGAAAUCGCACAUCAUGUACUCGGUCUUGGUCCUACUAAGUCUGAACCCUUUUGACUCUAACGUGCGUCUCCACAGCUCUAACUUCCUAUUAACCCCUGCCCUACUCUCGUCAACUAGCACCACGUCAUCAGCAAAGAGCAUACACCAAGGGAUCUCACCUUGUAUAUCCCUUGUGACCUCAUCCAUCACUAAAGCAAAUAAAUAAGGACUCAAUGCUGACCCCUGGUGUAGGCCUAUGUUAAUAGAAAAGUCAGUGGUGUUGCCAUCACAUGUCCGGACAAACGUUGUCGCAUCCUUGUACAUAUCCUUAAUGAGGGUAAUGUACUUAGUUGGGACUUUGUGCUUCUCCAAAGCCCACCACAUGACAUUUCUCGGUACUUUGUCAUAUGCCUUCUCAAGAUCAAUGAAGACCAUGUUUAAGUCCUUCUUCUGCUCCCUAUAUCUCUCCAUCAAUUGUCGUAUUAAGAAAAUCGCCUCCAUGGUUGACCUUCCAGUCAUGAACCCAAAUUGGUUUUGGGUCACACUUGUCACUCUUCUUAGGCGAUGCUCGAUAACCCUCUCCCAAAGCUUCAUCGUAUGGCUCAUCAGCUUAAUCCCACGGUAGUUAGUACAACUUUGAACAUCGCCCUUGCUUUUGAAAAUAGGUACUAAUAUACUUCUCCUCCAUUCCUCCUCCAUCUCUUUCAUUUGGAUGCUUAGUUUUUUUUUCUUUGUCUUGAUCCUUUUUUCUCAGUAAGAGUUCUAAUAUUCAGUUCUACUCUCUUAUAAUCAUUGCAAGUAUUUAGAGUAUUCUUCAAUACUUUUUCUUGCUGAAUGUUCUCAUAGAAAACCCUGUAAUAUAGGUUGCAUCUAUGACACAUUUCAAAUCUUACCUUGCUUGUGAGCAAAAGCCGUUCCAGCAGGGAGUGACUCUCUUUUAAAAGAAAGGAAGUUCUUGCAACCCUGGUGCAUAAGCAAGCUAAGAAAGAGAACCAAACAAAAGCAUCUUCUCUCCUAACAUUGAUAGGGAAUGAUAAUGUUAGCAAAGAAUCUAAUCAUGCCCUUAGUUUAACAAGUCAAUUUGAAUUCAUUCUGGAAGAGAGUUGCAUAUUUACAUACACGACUACAGACUACUAUUGUGAAAACUUGAGCUCGAGAGUUGGCACAUUAUCAGUAGGAACCAGGUUUAGGGUAAUCUCAUGCUUGGACUUUCGGCCGCUUUGCCCAGUCCUUGUUUAGACUAUGGCCUCGAUCUCCGUUUGAUUCUGCAUCUCCAAAAGUGCCCGGGGUCACAAAUAGAAACCAGGGUUGUAGGAUUGCAAAUGUAAAUAGGCUCUUUUACUUCUCUGGUGGUGUGAGAUCUUUUUGGAAGCUUCUGGUAUGACUUGAAUGAUCAGUUUCUUAUGACAUGGAAAGGUGUCAAAAUCUUGUGUUUAAUGGUAUGGAAACUAGUAUAGAACAUCACAUGACGAAAUUGUAUAUCAAGUUUAUUCGAGGAUGCGUUCAGAACUUCAGAUCGUGUCUGAAUGAAAAAAGUUUUGUACAUAUCAUCUUUGUAUGUUGUGAAGAUUUGCAAUUUGUAUUCUCUUUGAACAUGUCGCAAAUUACCAUGAGCUCGAGCUAAGAACUAUUCUCCUCUAGCACAUUUUUCUGAUGAGUAUGUCACUCUUUUUUUGGGAGGGGCAGCAUUCUCUAAUCUCUGGUGAAUAUGGAGCCAUUGGAAGCUUGUUCAUUUCCCCCUUUUAUCCUAGAGAGACAGAAGCAUUCGAGUGGGCCCCUAGUGAUGAGCAUGCAUCCUUCCAGCACAAUUGGCAUAAUUUAAGCUACCAGAAUGUGUCCAUGGAUGGUGUUUCUCUAAUUUCUCAACAGGCUGGUGAUUCCUACAGUAUGAAUGGUUCCUUCUGGCCUUUGGGGCACCACUCAGCAUACAGUGUCUAGUUCAUGUUGUAAUGUUGUCUCUGGAAAACUAGUAGCGGCAAUAUUCACAUAUACUCGGCAAAAAUAUAAAUAAGCAUUUGUGUAUGAUUAAGAGAUUAUUUUCAUAAAUCCUUGAAUGUCAAGCAAAUAGUUGACUUCAUUCAUUAAUAAAAUUAAAUUUGUAUGCUUUGUGUGCCUGUUUCUAGUUUUUUAGUAUAGCAAAUUGUUCACAGUUUAUUCUUCCCAAGACUUGUUCUUUUCUUGCGGUUCUGGCUGAGGUUAUCAGGUCUGUUUUCGGGAACCAGAUAAACAUGAACUCAAUCACUCUAUUUCAGUGCUAUGCAUGGAUCCCUACACUAAGUGUAUCACACAAAUUCCAGUAUUUGUUUGUCAUCAGUUAUUGAAGAGCUUAAUGGUUCUUCCAUUUCUAAAUGGCACAAAAGGCUUAAACCGCUUAUUAUGUAUGUUGCAAGAUAAGUUACAGGUUAUUGAACUGUCCUCCAGAAGCCCAUUCAAGAGGAAUGAAAGGGAUCAAACUUCAUAAGGUUUAUCAUUCUCCAUAGUCCACACAGAAAUCAGAACACAUUCUAAUGCUCGGGUGAAAAUGCCUUUACCCCAUGGACUGUAGUGAAUGCUACUGCCGUCCACAACCAAAAGAUACCUGACAACCGGAAGCAAUUCAAAACAGCCAGGUGGUCUUAUCAGCUCAACCUACCUGUAUGCCGGUGAGAUCAUGAGUUAUUUUUCUUGAACUCAGGCUGUCGAGUUCUUUCGCUUUGCAAUACUUGUGCAUAUCCAGUCGUAAUGACAUCUUAUAAACAUCCCUGGGCCAAAAAAAAUGUAUGCCACCGUGCAACUAAAGCUGAUUGAAUGCAGUGCCAUAUUAAACCACA
Panicum virgatum (switchgrass) is the source of this 5201-nucleotide RNA transcript. RefSeq lists it as uncharacterized. The record is from RefSeq and is a predicted model, not a curated record. The transcript has 6 exons. Lineage: Eukaryota; Viridiplantae; Streptophyta; Magnoliopsida; Poales; Poaceae.